GCUGUGAGGACCCUCCUGUAAUGCUUGCACCAAGCAGCUUUAAGGGGCAGCUUGUGCACAAGGUGUUUUAUGUUAAGUUUUGCUGCUUAAUUUGUAGUUUACUGCAAUAAUUGUCACGUACCUGCUGAGGGUGCAGUGGGCUGAAGCCCCAGGUGUAGCCACUGCCCCUGCUUCCUUUCCUGUGCCUGGGACCCUCUGGCCAGAACUGAACCAGAGGAGCUGCUGGCAAUAAAACCCAUGUGAAUUUAAGGGAGCUUCCUCAACCAUGGCACUGCUGGGAACUGGCCAGCCUGCACAUUUGAUGUGUACCAACAGUCAGAGACCCAUUCUCCCCUGGAUAGGAAAGUGUCACCAAGAUGGGACUUUCUGUGGAGCCUAAGGAUAUCCUGGAAUACAAAAAAAAUGAAGGAAAAUAUCCUCUGGACUUCCUCCUGGAAGGAAAGCUAGCAGGUGCCAUGCAGACAGGAACACAAGCCCUUCUGUAGCUGAGGAGUGAUUUGUGUCUUCUCCAAUAGGAUACUACAAAGUUUGUGAAAUUCUGCCUUGGUUGUAAAUGCUCCACUGCCCCUCACCUUCAGCAUGGACAGAAAUAUCAAUAUUGCCUUUCUCUGGCUGCACAGAACAGUGCAGGUCCACACACCAGCUCCAGCUUCCCCACGGGCAAGUAAAGGGGUCCCAAAGCAGCUGCUGAAGCAGCAGCACUCAGCCACACAUGGGCAGCCCAUGGGGGCUUAUUCAGUUCAAUCCCACAGGAAGUGCACCCCACACUGAGCUGAGAUGGUAUGCAUGCAAGAAGGUCUCACCUGUCCCACCUGCUGGCUUUCUGGGGCCCUUGGGAGUGGCUGAGAUAAAACGGCUGGGGAGGAAAUGUGUUAGUCAUAGGCAUCACCAAAAAUGGCACCUCUGGAUUGAGAAUGAAUGGCAAAGAUUUCACCACAACUUUCUGACAUCUGCAUUUGUAAACUCAGGGCAAGGGGCCCUUAACACCCUGCAUACAAUGUGUGGCCACAAAGAUUGGGACUGUCCAUGGGUGAAAAUGGAACCCAGUGCUCUACAGGGCACUGCUGCCUUGAGAUAAGCCAGCAUCCCAUCCCAGCUGGUGAAGAGCAAGGAGCUGCAACAAUCUGCUCUAAAGUUCCUUUGAUACAGCAGCAGACAGGCAAGAGUAGAUGCUGCACAGAACAGCAUUGCAGCCAGCAGCAAGUUGCCAAAGUUUUGGUGUCCCUGGCCUGGUCAGUCAGUCCAACAACAGAUAAUUUCCCAUGGUGUGUUAUGUACGGGAGAUUCCCUGUCAGCUGGAGGGCUUUCAGUGACACCCUGAUACUCAAAUCCCAGCUCCCCUUGCUGCUCCUGGGCUAAAACAAGCUACAGACAGCCAUUGAGGGAGGAGGGAGCGAGCAAUAUGGAAAACACUGCCUAAUAAUAGUGGCUGGCAUUACUAAGUAUAUGAAUAAAGUAUGAGCAAGA
Long non-coding RNA from Parus major (Great Tit), 1467 nucleotides. RefSeq lists it as uncharacterized. Lineage: Eukaryota; Metazoa; Chordata; Aves; Passeriformes; Paridae. The record is from RefSeq and is a predicted model, not a curated record. The transcript is spliced from 2 exons.